GUACGUACAAGCAGUGGGAGCCUCUUUUAUGGGGUGACUGCGUACCUUUUGUAUAAUGGGUCAGCGACUUAUAUUCUGUAGCAAGGUUAACCGUAUAGGGGAGCCGAAGGGAAACCGAGUCUUAACUGGGCGUUAAGUUGCAGGGUAUAGACCCGAAACCCGGUGAUCUAGCCAUGGGCAGGUUGAAGGUUGGGUAACACUAACUGGAGGACCGAACCGACUAAUGUUGAAAAAUUAGCGGAUGACCUGUGGCUGGGGGUGAAAGGCCAAUCAAACCGGGAGAUAGCUGGUUCUCCCCGAAAGCUAUUUAGGUAGCGCCUCGUGAAUUCAUCUCCGGGGGUAGAGCACUGUUUCGGCUAGGGGGCCAUCCCGGCUUACCAACCCGAUGCAAACUGCGAAUACCGGAGAAUGUUAUCACGGGAGACACACGGCGGGUGCUAACGUCCGUCGUGAAGAGGGAAACAACCCAGACCGCCAGCUAAGGUCCCAAAGUCAUGGUUAAGUGGGAAACGAUGUGGGAAGGCCCAGACAGCCAGGAUGUUGGCUUAGAAGCAGCCAUCAUUUAAAGAAAGCGUAAUAGCUCACUGGUCGAGUCGGCCUGCGCGGAAGAUGUAACGGGGCUAAACCAUGCACCGAAGCUGCGGCAGCGACACUAUGUGUUGUUGGGUAGGGGAGCGUUCUGUAAGCCGUUGAAGGUGGCCUGUGAGGGUUGCUGGAGGUAUCAGAAGUGCGAAUGCUGACAUAAGUAACGAUAAAGCGGGUGAAAAGCCCGCUCGCCGGAAGACCAAGGGUUCCUGUCCAACGUUAAUCGGGGCAGGGUGAGUCGACCCCUAAGGCGAGGCCGAAAGGCGUAGUCGAUGGGAAACAGGUUAAUAUUCCUGUACUUGGUGUUACUGCGAAGGGGGGACGGAGAAGGCUAUGUCGGCCGGGCGACGGUUGUCCCGGUUUAAGC
RNAcentral lists this ribosomal RNA (952 nucleotides) under Salmonella sp. HMSC13B08. RNAcentral describes it as "bacterial LSU rRNA". It matches the Rfam family "Bacterial large subunit ribosomal RNA", at positions 560 to 1517 of the family's 2925-position model. The record is from RNAcentral. Lineage: Bacteria; Pseudomonadati; Pseudomonadota; Gammaproteobacteria; Enterobacterales; Enterobacteriaceae.